AACGAACGCUGGCGGCAUUCCUAACACAUGCACGUCGAACGAGACCUUCGGGUCUAGUGGCGCACGUGUGCGUAACGCGUGGGAAUCUGCCCUUCGGUUGGGAAUAACUGAGAGAAAUUUCAGCUAAUACCUUAUAAUGUCUUCGUCCCAAAGUUUUAUCGCCGAUUGAUGAGCCGGUGUAGGAUUAGCUUGUUGGUGUGGUAAUGGCCUACCACGCCGACGUUCCUUAGCUGGUCUGCGAGGAUGAUCAGCCACGCUGGGACUGGGACACGGCACAGACCUCUAGGGGAGGAAGCAGAGGGGUAAUAUGGACAAUGGGCGUAAUCCUGACACAGCAAAGCCGGGUGAGAAAUGAAGCCCUAAGGGUUGUAAUGCUGUUUAAUUCGAGAUGUAAAUGAAAGUAUCGAGAGAAUAAGCGCCGGCUAACUGUGUGG
This 434-nucleotide ribosomal RNA is filed under the name uncultured bacterium. RNAcentral describes it as "partial 16S ribosomal RNA". It matches the Rfam family "Bacterial small subunit ribosomal RNA", at positions 29 to 508 of the family's 1533-position model. The record is from RNAcentral.